RNAcentral lists this ribosomal RNA (590 nucleotides) under uncultured Burkholderia sp. RNAcentral describes it as "bacterial SSU rRNA". It matches the Rfam family "Bacterial small subunit ribosomal RNA", at positions 418 to 1003 of the family's 1533-position model. The record is from RNAcentral. Lineage: Bacteria; Pseudomonadati; Pseudomonadota; Betaproteobacteria; Burkholderiales; Burkholderiaceae.
UCGGGUUGUAAAGCACUUUUGUCCGGAAAGAAAACUUCUGCAUUAAUACUGCGGGAGGAUGACGGUACCGGAAGAAUAAGCACCGGCUAACUACGUGCCAGCAGCGCGGUAAUCGUAGGGUGCGAGCGUUAAUCGGAAUUACUGGGCGUAAAGCGUGCGCAGGCGGUUCGUUAAGACAGAUGUGAAAUCCCCGGGCUUAACCUGGGAACUGCAUUUGUGACUGGCGAGCUAGAGUAUGGCAGAGGGGGGUAGAAUUCCACGUGUAGCAGUGAAAUGCGUAGAGAUGUGGAGGAGUACCGAUGGCGAAGGCAGCCCCCUGGGCCAAUACUGACGCUCAUGCACGAAAGCGUGGGGAGCAAACAGGAUUAGAUACCCUGGUAGUCCACGCCCUAAACGAUGUCAACUAGUUGUUGGGGAUUCAUUUCCUUAGUAACGUAGCUAACGCGUGAAGUUGACCGCCUGGGGAGUACGGUCGCAAGAUUAAAACUCAAAGGAAUUGACGGGGACCCGCACAAGCGGUGGAUGAUGUGGAUUAAUUCGAUGCAACGCGAAAAACCUUACCUACCCUUGACAUGGUCGGAACCCUGCUG